RNAcentral lists this ribosomal RNA (465 nucleotides) under uncultured bacterium. RNAcentral's name for it is "bacterial SSU rRNA". It matches the Rfam family "Bacterial small subunit ribosomal RNA", at positions 917 to 1382 of the family's 1533-position model. The record is from RNAcentral.
GGGCCCGCACAAGCGGUGGAGCAUGUGGUUUAAUUCGACGCAACGCGAAGAACCUUACCUGGGCUUGAACUGCUAUGGACCGGUCUAGAGAUAGGCCUUUUCGCAAGAACCGUAGUAGAGGUGCUGCAUGGCUGUCGUCAGCUCGUGUCGUGAGAUGUUGGGUUAAGUCCCGCAACGAGCGCAACCCUUACCUGUAGUUGCCAGCGAGUAAAGUCGGGAACUCUACAGGGACUGCCCGGGUUAACCGGGAGGAAGGUGGGGAUGAUGUCAAGUCCUCAUGGCCCUUAUGUCCAGGGCUACACACGUGCUACAAUGGGCGAUACAAACCGUUGCCAAGCCGCGAGGUGGAGCUAAUCGGAGAAAGUCGCCCUCAGUUCGGAUUGCAGUCUGCAACUCGACUGCAUGAAGGUGGAAUCGCUAGUAAUCGUGUAUCAGAACGAUACGGUGAAUACGUUCCCGGGCCUU